GCUAACAGUUAGCGCUAACAGUUAGUUCUCACUGUGGACAUCACGAAGAAUCUCACGAAGAAUGAAACGUUGAAUAAUUUGUUUAAUUCUUUAUAAGACAGCUAUAUAUUCAGCGAGGAACGGGAGCAAAUCAAGGAACAAUGGAGACGAUUCAUUCAGAAGAAUAUCUGCUGUAGAUAGUUAGGACAGUAGUAGCGUUACGGACUGUCCUCAGCGCACAAUAUAUUCAUGUGGUGCACCUCAGACGCAAAUUCCUCCAUUAUUAAAAACAAGUUGCUAAAAGUAAACACGUCCGGUUUUGCACUCCGAGCCCAAACGGCAUCGCAUUGAAUUGAGACUAAAGGAGGCUUAAAAACAUGACACCAGUUUUGUUGUAAGGUACGCCCUUCGACUCUCAACCCGAAGUUUAUCAGAACUCAAACUUGGCCCUUAACAAUAUCUGCAAAGCCAGCAUAUCAGCUCAGCUUCUGAGCUUCAGCACCUGCUAAGCAUAGAAGACAAAGGAGUAGUGAAAGGCUCAGCCAAAUCAAAGUCCAGCGAUGUGAGGGGGAGACAGCCUUACCAUGUCCUCGUAUUGCAACAUGAAGGACAUUUUAGCUGAAACUAACAAGGGAGAGAACUGUAGAUCUGCACCAGCACAGAGCACCAGCAUUGAUAUCAAGUUGACCCAGCAACCGCACAAGUCCCGCCUGCAAGAGACCCAGUCCAGAACCACCCUUCCCCGCCCCUGACUUCUAACUCCUCCCCCUUGACCUCCUGACUCAAAAAGUCAGCAGCGUUGAACAACUCCGUUCUGCCGGAAAUUCUGAGCAUAAUUCUGUUCUGAACAAACGCAAUGCCCACGUCAAGUUGUCCACACAUAAGCCUGGGUAGUUUUGUUAAGCUAGAGUUCCGCGUGGGCCUGAAAGGGACGAGUGUUACAGACACGAAAAGUUAAAGAAAAAAAUAGCGGUAGUUAUGGUUACGCUAACAGUCGGUUGUUGCUGUUGGACAUCACAACAAAUAUCAUGAAGAAUAAAAAGUUCAAUAACUUGUUCCAAUCUUUAUGGGACAAACGGAAAUUGAACAGGAGAAAAUCAAGGAACAAUAAAAGCAUUAGCUUUCCUAUGGGAUACUUCGACUGCUGUUGAUAGUUUGGACAACAGUAGGGUUACAGACUGCCCCAGAUUGUCCUCCCAGCGGCCAAAAUAUCAUUAUAGAACGGACUUUUGGCAAUGUUACUAACAAAGAAAGGCAAUAAUGACUUGGUUGUGAAUACCCAGAGCACGAUACAUCCAUGCUGACAAAGAAAGGCGGUAAUGACUUGGUUGUGAAUACGCAGAGCGCGAUACAUCCAUGCUGACACAUAAAGGCAGUAAUGACUUGGCUGUGAACACAGAACACAAUACACCCAUGCUGACACAAAAAGGCAGUAAUGACUUGGCUGUAAAAACAGAGCACAAUACAUUCAUGCUGAAACAGAAAGGCAGUCAUGACUAUGCUGUGAACACCCAGAGGAUAUAUUGAUGCUGACGCAGAAAAGCAGUAAUGAUUAUGCUGUGAACACCUAGAGCAAGAUAUAUCCAUGCUGACACAGAAAGGCAUUAAUGACUAUGCAGUGAACACCCAGAGCAAGAUAUAUCUAUGCUGACACAGAAAGGCAGUAAUGACUAUGCUGUGAACAACAAGACCACAAAACAUCCAUGCUGACACAGAAAGGCAGUAAUGACUUGGUUGUGAACACCCAGAGCAAGAUAUAUCCAUGCUGACACAGAAAGUUUGUAAUGACUAUGCUGUGAACACCCGGAGCACAAUACAUCCAUGCUGACACAGAAAGGCAGUAAUGACUUGGUUGUGAACACCCAGAGCACAAUACAUCCAUGCUGACACAGAAAGGCAGUAAUGACUUGGCUGUGAACACAGAACACAAUACACCCAUGCUGACACAAAAAGGCAGUAAUGACUUGGCUGUGAAAACAGAGCACAAUACAUUCAUGCUGAAACAGAAAGGCAGUCAUGACUAUGCUGUGAACACCCAGAGAACGAUAUAUUGAUGCUGACGCAGAAAAGCAGUAAUGAUUAUGCUGUGAACACCCAGAGCAAGAUAUAUCCAUGCUGACACAGAAAGGCAUUAAUGACUAUGCAGUGAACACCCAGAGCAAGAUAUAUCCAUGCUGACACAGAAAGGCAGUAAUGACUUGGUUGUGAACACCCAGAGCAAGAUAUAUCCAUGCUGACACAGAAAGGCAGUAAUGAUUGGCUGUGAACACAGAACACGAUACACCCAUGCUGACACAGAAAGGCAGUGAUGACUUGGCUGUGAACACAGAACACGAUACACCCAUGCUGACACAGAAAGGCAGUAAUGACUUGGCUGUGAACACAGAACACAAUACAUCCAUGCUGACACAGAAAGGCAGUAAUGACUUGGCUGUGAACACAGACCACAAUACAUCCAUGCUGACACAGAAAGGCAGUUAUGACUUGGUUGUGAACACAGAGCACAAUACAUCCUUGUUGACACAGAAAGGUAGUUAUGACUUGGUUGUGAACACAGAGCACAAUACAUCCUUGUUGACACAGAAAGGUAGUUAUGACUUUGCUGUGAACUCAGAGCACGAUACAUCCAUGCUGACACAGAAAGGCAGUUAUGACUUGGAUGUAAAUACCCAGAGCACAAUACAUCCAUGCUGACACAGAAAGGCAGUAAAGACUUUGUUGUAAACACUAAGAGAUCCAUAUAUCCAUGGGGUAUGCCACAGACGCAAAUUACGCCCACUAUUGUGAACAAGGUGCUUAAAGUGAACAUGUUUGGUUUUGUUAUGAGCACUUAGCACUCCGAGCCCAAAAGGCCUCGCAUUGAAUUGAUGCAAGAAAAGGCUUUGAAAAAUAACAGCAGUUUUGUUGUGUGGUCCAGUACGCCCUUUGACUUGCAACCUGAAUAAAGCAGAACUCAAACUCAGCUCUUAGCAAUAUCAGCAAGAUCAGCAUGUCAUCUUAGCUUCUUGAGCACAGCAAACAUGACAAACGUCAUUGAAGUGAAAGUCGAUGACAACCUCCUUCUUGCACAAAUACUACAACUCGCUUAAGAAAUUCAGCACGAAGACAUAUUGCGUCAGACUACCAAGCCUCCUAUCAAUAUCUCCUCCCAUGUUGGCUACAUCAACACUUCCAACAGCAGAGCCUUGGUGAGUUUGACUUCCAUCUCAGCAUCGAUGUCGCUUAGCAACAAUUGGAUGAUGGGCGUCAACAAAUUAGGCCGAAGAAGUCGCUCGAACUGAAACGAUCUGAUCCAACAGGUAGAGCAGGCAUUGCGUGACACGUCUGUUAAUGUGACUGACCUCGAUAUGUUGUUCUCGAAUAAUGUGAACCGUAGGCCUGGAGAGCAGUAUGCGAUUGACGCCAUUCAACAACAGUUGUUGUUGGCAGUUCUCGGGUUUGGGUGGCAACUUCGGCGUCGGGACUCGCUCCAUCUCUGUCUAUGGCCCAGUUGCAGCAGCAGCAGCAACAAUAACAAUAAGUAGUAUCUUAGCGGUGUUCUGGGAUAUGGGGCUUCAUGUAUGUGCUUGAAUUGUCAUCCCAGAUUAGCCUGUGCAGACUGCACAUACAUUAAGUCAUAUUAAAUUGUCAUCCCAGAUUAGCCUGUGCAGACUGCACAUACAUUAAGUCAUAUUAAAUUGUCAUCCCAGAUUAGCCCGUGCAGACUUCACAAACAUUAAGUACUAUUAAAUUGUCAUCCCACAUUAGCCUGUGCAGACUUCACAUACAUUAAGCCCUAUUAAAGUGUCAUCCCAGUUUAGUCUGUGCAGACUGCACAUACAUUAAGUCCUAUUAAAUUGUCAUCCCAGAUUAGCCUGUGCAGUUUUUGUACCCCCACUAAACGAAGUUUAGGGGGGUAUGUAGGAGUGAGCUUGUCUUUUGGUCAGUCAGUCUGUCGGUCGGUCAGUCUGUCCGUGUCCGCUCUCUAAUUUAAGUUGUUUUUAUCCAAUCUUCACCAAACUUGGUCAGAAGUUGUAUCUAGAUGAUGUCUAGGUCAAGUUUGAAUAUGGGUCAUGCCGGGUCAAAAACUAGAUCACGGGGUCACUAAGUGCGUUUUAUACAUUCAGCAUGUUGUCCACUCUCUAAUUCAAGUAGUUUUCAUCAGAGCUUCACCAAACUUGGUCAGAAGUUGUGUCUAGAUGAUGUCAAGGCCAAGUUCGAACAUGGGUCAUGCCGGGUCAAAAACCAGUCACUGGGUCACCUAGUGCGUUUUAAAUAUUGAGCAUGGUGUCCGCUCUUUAAUUGAAGUAGUUUUCAUCCAAUCUUCACCAAACUUGGUCAGACGUUGUAUGUAGAUGAUGUCUAGGUCAAGUUCGAAUAUGGAUCAUGCCGGGUCAAAAACUAGGUCACGGGGUUACAUACUGCGUUUUAAACAUUGAACAUGGUGUCCACUCUCUAGCUCAAGUAGUUUUCAUUUUUAUUUGAUCAAACAUGGUAAAUAAAUAUCAAAUAAAAGUUUAUCUUAUAUCAGAUUUAAUCAUAGGUCAGGGCAUAGUUUUGUCUAUUGUUUGGCUAAAUUUUUGCCCCUGACCCAAAGUUUCUCCUUGCAAUAAAAAAUCCGCUUUAAUUUAAUAGAACUUUUAAAUUUUAUUCAAUUUUCGUAAAACAAUUAUUUAAAUGUCUUUAGCACAUUAUGCAAGUAUUCUCUUCAUUUAUUUUCAAUAUUUAUUGAAAUUCCUGGAUUUUGUUUUAAAAGCCGGUUCCUACAUUACCCCAUGCAAUCAUAGAUCGAUAACCAGCUGAACAACAGGCUGUCUGGUCAGCUGGGCCCAGACUUCCAGUGACACUUCCUGGGCAUGGGGAUGAUUGACUCUUGAUCCAGGAUCUUAGGGCAAGAGCUCUCGUGUUUGGGUUAUAUAUAUAUUGAUAGGGCAUAGUUUUGUCUAUUUGUCUGCUUAAAUUCAGCCCCUAAACCAAAUGUUUCUGCUUGCAUAAAAAUCCGUUUAAUAGAAUUGUUAAAUAUUAUUUAAUUUGAGUAAUUAUUAAAAUGCCUUCAGCACAUUAUACACAUAUUCUCUUCCAAUUUGCAAUAUUUAUUUAAAUUCAUGGAUUUUGUUUUAAGAGUCGUUUCUUACAGGACUUCAUAAUAGCCGUCUUGUUGUAUUGCCUUGAAAGGGCGCAGGGGGGUUGUAUAGAUUUGCCCUUGUCUGUAAAUCUCUCUGUCCUUCCUUCCAUCCUUUCUUACAUCCGUCCCACUUUUUUAUUGUUGCUCAUAACUAAAUAAAUAUUGGUUUCAGAGGGUUGAAAUAUGUGUGUAUCAAUUGUACAUUUUAUAUAGUAGGUUAUGUUUGUAUCAAGUGUUUAGUGUAUAUCCCAUUUGUAUCAAGAGCCUUUAUCACAGUGUAUUUCAUUUAUUAUUUAAUCAAACAAAAUUGAUUGACUUCCAAUAUAACUGAUACCAUUUCAGAAUGCAUCGAAUUAUUCGGUUUACAGGAACUCAUUUGUAGGACGGUCCUUAUCAUCACAAGGUGAGGCCCAGAGAAUGAUGUUAACCAAUUCGGACUCAGCCACUAAAUCUCAAUAGGUUGAGCAUCCUAGGGUGCCUAGAAAUUAAUUCCUCCACUAUGACCUUGUCCUUACCCCAGCACUCACCUUUCGGUCAGGUUGGAGGUCACAUCGGCCUGGGUGGUCAUGGCAAAAUCUUGAUAGCAGAGCGUUGAGUUUGGUCUGGAAGCAUUUGCUGUCACAGCUCUAUGGUGCAGGACCAUCAGUCUAUGAACAUCUUGCAGAGCGAUCCUUUGAUGCCAAUUGACACAAUCAAACACCAAUCCCCAACCCCAAACACAGCCUGUUGUAGCAGCUGUUACCAUAUUGACCCAGGUCAACCCUAAGAAGCUUGGAUACAGAUACUGUUUUAUAAAUGCUAGUCUCUUCGUACUUUGUGGUCUGUUAAGCACUAACUCUAACAAGUCUCUUCUUUGAAUUGUGUGGCGGGUGGACAAUGAAUUACCUUGUUCAGAUUGAAAUGGCAGAAUGACAAAUCACAACAAUUUCAGUGGAAAGCCAGAAAGUCAUGUGGCCAGCCACGUUUUUUAUUUGACCAGUCAAGGUGUGUUAUGUGACCAGUCAAGGUGUGUUAUGUGACCAGCCAAGAUGUGUUCAAAGAAAAACAUUAUUACAUGUAUCAUGAGAACUAUGAUGCUGUCAGUCAUUUAAUGUUAAAGGCUUUGGUUAAAUAUAGUAUGUAAAGUUGUAUUAUAAGCACACAUAUUACUUCAUCUGUAUUAUGAAACUUUCACUACAGAUUUUGAUACUGAUUAUGAUAAAUGCAUGGGAAAAAAUACCCUAGAUUUUUUGUAAAUGAUUUUAAGAUUGUCAAAUCUGUUCAAAUGAUGCAGGUCACUUGAGCAAAAUUGGGGAAAAGGCAUUAAUUGCAUGUAAUAAGGCAGUUUCAGGUUUAUAAGCUUUUACAAGUAAUAAAAAUGUGCUUUUUAAAAGAAUUGUUCAGAAAGGUUGAAUUUUUAACGCUUCAGUUUUGAUCGGUCUAUUAAUUUUCUGAAUACAAUACUCAACAGUUUACUCUAUCAGGUCGCUUUUUUAUCGAGAAUCUUGCUUAUUGUCGUACUUUUUCAAGAGAAUAUUUACAAAUUGUUGGCAAAAUUGUCAAUUCUGUAUUUACUACCAUUACUUUAUUGAAUUGAAUGGAUAUGGUUUGUUACUGAAGUAGAAAAUGACCCUUGCGUUAUUUGAGAUCCUUUAAAUGAAAAUGAGAAAUUAAACAAAGAGUUAAUAAAUUAGUGUUAUGAAUCGUUGCAAACGUUAUUAUUGUUAAUUUGUGUUCAUAGAUCAUAUGCUUGCAUACUCAUAAGUGUUCACAUUCGUUGUUGGAUAAUAUAACUUAUUAUCCUUUAUAUUUUUGUAUACACAUUUAGAGCACCAGAUUGUAUCAUCUUGAAUCAGUGAGUAACUUAACCUAAAUUUCUUGAUCACUGUAUGUGGGUAUAUUAUGCCAUCUAUAUAUAGAUCACCUGCAAACAAUUGUAUCUUUGAUGUAAAUUUUUCAUUUAUUUUCGUCAUGUUUAUUAGAAAAAGUCACUUUGUUCAUUCAUUUGUACAAACCAUUACUAUUAAAAUACAUUAAUUGUGUGAUUGCUUAUGUUUGUAUUAAAGAGUUUCAGUAAUGCAGCAUAACAUAUUUCGAAGAGACAAAUAUACAAAGUGAUAUAGAAACACCUUGUUAUAUUCUAUUUGCUAAAAAUAAAUUUGAUAACAACUUAAAAUGUGUUUACUUUUAGUUUUUAUUAUCUUAAGAAAAAUUCAUACCUCGAUAUUUGAAAUCAGUCACUUACAAAUAAAGGUGGAUCAAUGUCAUAUGUUAACAGCUGUCAAGAAUACAAUUGUCUCUAUUGGUAAUAUAUGAGAGCAAUAUUAUUUGCUAAAGAAAUACGUGUCCUUUGAUAGAUGAUAUCUGUGUACACAACUGAACAUAACAAAGUAAACACAUACAGAAUUUCAAGUAAAGUAAAAGUCUACAAGGAUUUUGUGGAAUAAACCAAUUAAAAAUAUAGGCAAAAUGCAUCAACAUUGACAUUUAUUAAAAUCUAUUAAAUUUGGAUGAUUAUUCAGUGCGUAAAAUUAUGUAAUUGUUAGAAGUGAAUGUUCUGCCUAAAAUUAAUCUUUAUGACAUAUUUAUAUUUCAACGAUGAUAUUAUACGUGUACUUGUAUUAUAGUUGAUUUAUAGUUUAUAAUGAAUAGUAAAAUUGUUUUAGUUUUAUCACAGUUUGUUACACGUUGAACCUUCCACAUAAGAUAUCAGUGGAGCGCCUUCACAGGGGCCAGUGGCUAAGGUGUGGCUGUUUAUGUUAAGCUUUUAUUGAAUGCAUGAAACAUAUUUGUUUUGUUGUUAAACAGCUGAAAAUUACUUUGUGUUUUAAAAUUGUUUGACAUGCUUUAUGUAUACCAUAUUGAUAUAUAGAACACACAAUAAACAUUUUGCGAUAA
Dreissena polymorpha is the source of this 7960-nucleotide long non-coding RNA. RefSeq lists it as uncharacterized. Lineage: Eukaryota; Metazoa; Mollusca; Bivalvia; Myida; Dreissenidae. The transcript has 8 exons. The record is from RefSeq and is a predicted model, not a curated record.